CCUUUUUGGAUGUCUCCUCUUCAAGUGCUGGUUUCUCUUCAAAUAAUAGUUCGUUAGGUGUUUCUUCCCGUUUUGGUUCUUCAGGUGCUUCUUCAGUUAUUGGUUUUGCAGCUUUCUCCUCAAUUGUCUCCUCAACCAAUGGUUCUUCAAGCUUCUCUUCCAUUGUUGUUUCUUUAGGUUUCUCUUCAAUUGCCGGUGGUUCAGGUUUUUUCUCAUCCACUGGUUCUUCUGGCUUCUCUGAAACUGCUGUUUCUUCUGAUUUCUCUUCAAUUGCUUGUUCUUCAUGUUUUUUUUCAACUACUGGCUCUUCAGUUUUUUCCUCAACUGAUGCAUAGUCAGCAAUGUCGUUGGUAUUGCAUGGAAUUGCAUUGUCUGUCUUGUCCUUUGAGUUUACAAUUGGCAAAUUAUGCAAGAAAAUUUUAAGUUUCAUUUAGUCUUUCAACAGAUAAACUUAUGUAAAUUCGUUGCACAUAUAAAGCUAAUAUGAUGGAUAGUUUUUAUGACAGUGUUUAUUUGUCACCUUCUCCUGAAGAGCUUCUGUUUCAGGUUCUUCCUCUUCAAUUGCUGGUUUUUCAUCUUUCUUUUCAACAACUAGUUCUUCAGAUGUGUCUUCAACUGUUGGUUCUUCAGGUUUCUCUUCAAGAGCUAGUUCUUCAGGUGUUUCCUCCCCUGCAAGCUCUUCAGGUGUUUCUAUAGUCGCCGGUUCUUCAGGUUUCUCUGUAAUCUCUAGUUCAGGUUUCUCCUCAACUGGUACUUCAGAUUUCUCCUCAAAUGUUGGUUCUUCAGGUUUCUCCUUAAUAGCUGGUACACCAGGUUUCUCUUCAAUGAGUGGUUCUUCAGUUUUUUCUUCAACUGCCGAUUCUUCAGGAUUUUCCUCACUGUCUGGAGAGUGUGCAACAUCAUUAUUGGUAUUGCAUGGGAUUUCACUGCCAGUUUUUUCGUUCGAGUCUACAAUUAGCAUAUUCUGCAAAAAGAAUUUAAUGUUUCACUUAGCCUUUCAAUAAAGAUGCAGAUGUGAAUCAUAGUACAUACAUAACUAACAAAAUGGAUAAACUUUGUGAUAGUGCUUGACCCUUACCUUUUCCAAAAGAGUUACCUUUUCAGGUUUCUCCUCUUCCAUGGCUGGUUCUUCAUGUAUCUCUUCAAAUGCUAGUUCCUUAGGUGUUUCUUCAAUUACUUGUUUUUCAGGUUUCUCCUCAAUUUUUGGUUCUUUGAUUGUCUCCUCAACUGAUGGUACUUCAAGCUUUUCUCCCACGGUUGGUUUUUCAGGUUUCUCUUCAACUGUCGGUUGUUCAGGUAUUUUCUCAACCGCUGGUUCUUCUGGUUUCCCCGAAACCCUUGAUUCUUCAGAUUUUUCUUCAAUUGCUGAUUCUUCAGAUAUCUCUUCAACUAUUGCUUCUUCAGUUUUUUCCUCAACUGAUGCAUAGUCAGCAAUGUCAUUGUUGGUAUUGCAUGGAAUUGCAUUGUCUAUUGUGUUCUUUGAGUUUACAAUUGGAAAAUUCUGCAAGAAAAUUUAAAGUUUCAUCUAGUCUUUCAAUAGAUAAACAUGUAAAUGCGUUGCACAUAUAAAGCUAAUAUGCUGAAUAAACUUUGUGAGAGUUAAUUCUCACCUUCUCCUUAAGAGCUUCCAUUUCAGGUUCCUCCUCUUCAAUUGCUGUUUUUUCAACUUUCUCUUCAACAACUAGCUCUUCAGAUGUAUCUUCAACCGUUGGUUCUUCAGGUUUCUCUUCAAGUGCUAGUUCUUCAGGUGUUUCUAUUGCUGCCGGUUCUUGAGGUUUCUCUUCAGUCUCUGGUUCUUGAGGUUUCUCCUCAGCUGGUACUUCAGAUUUCUCCUCAAAUGUUGGUUUCUCCUCAACUGCUGGUACAUCAGGUUUCUCUUCAAUGACUAGUUCUUCAUUUUUUAUUUCAACUGCCGGUUCUUCAGAAUUUUCCUCAAUGUCUGGAGAGUGAGCAACAUCAUUAUUGGUAUUGCAUGGAAUUUCACUGCCAGUUUUGGUGUUCGAGUCUACAAUUAGCAUAUUCUGCAAAAAGACUUUAAUGUUUCACUUAGCCUUUCAAAAGAAGAGCAUGUGAAUCACUGUACAUGCAUAACUAACAAAAUGGAUAUACUUUGUGAUAGUACUUGACCCUUACCUUUUCCAAAAGAGUUACCUUUUCAGGUUUCUCCUCUUUCAUUGCUGGCUCUUUAUGUAUCUCUUCUAAUGCUAGUUCCUUGGGUGUUUCUUCAGUUACUUGUUUAUCAGGUUUCUCCUCAAUUUUUGGUUCUUUGAUCGUCUCCUCAACUGAUGGUUCUUCAAGCUUUUCUCCCACUGUUGGUGUUUCAGGUUUCUCUUCGAUUGUCGGUUGUUCAGGUAUUUUCUCAACCGGUGGUUCUUCUGGUUUCUCCAAAACCCUUGAUUCUUCAGAUUUCUCUUCAAUAGCUGAUUCUUCAGAUAUCUCUUCAACUUCUGGUUCUUCAGUAUUUUCCUCAACUGAUGCAUAGUCAGCAAUGUCAUUGUUGGUAUUGCAUGGAAUUGCAUUGUCUGUUGUGUUCUUUGAGUUUACAAUUGGCAAAUUCUGCAAGAAAAUUUGAAGUUCCAUUUAGUCUUUCAAUAGAUGAAACAUAUUUAAAUUCAUUGCACUUAUAAAGUUAAUAUGCUGAAUAAACUUUGUGACAG
Molecule: long non-coding RNA, 2657 nt
Filed under: Solanum tuberosum (potato)
Lineage: Eukaryota; Viridiplantae; Streptophyta; Magnoliopsida; Solanales; Solanaceae
Description: long non-coding RNA (STUB_LNC003301)
Source: RNAcentral